AUUGAACGCUGGCGGCAUGCCUCACACAUGCAAGUCGAACGGUAACAGGCCGCAAGGUGCUGACGAGUGGCGAACGGGUGAGUAAUACAUCGGAACGUGCCCGAGAGUGGGGGAUAACGGAGCGAAAGCUUUGCUAAUACCGCAUACGAUCUACGGAUGAAAGCAGGGGACCGCAAGGCCUUGCGCUCAUGGAGCGGCCGAUGGCAGAUUAGGUAGUUGGUGGGAUAAAAGCUUACCAAGCCGACGAUCUGUAGCUGGUCUGAGAGGACGACCAGCCACACUGGGACUGAGACACGGCCCAGACUCCUACGGGAGGCAGCAGUGGGGAAUUUUGGACAAUGGGCGAAAGCCUGAUCCAGCCAUGCCGCGUGCAGGAUGAAGGCCUUCGGGUUGUAAACUGCUUUUGUACGGAACGAAAGACUCUGGUUAAUACCUGGGUCCAUGACGGUACCGUAAGAAUAAGCACCGGCUAAC
Molecule: ribosomal RNA, 474 nt
Filed under: uncultured bacterium
Lineage: Bacteria
Description: bacterial SSU rRNA
Rfam family: Bacterial small subunit ribosomal RNA
Source: RNAcentral